This 588-nucleotide ribosomal RNA is filed under the name uncultured bacterium. RNAcentral describes it as "bacterial SSU rRNA". It matches the Rfam family "Bacterial small subunit ribosomal RNA", at positions 338 to 944 of the family's 1533-position model. The record is from RNAcentral.
CCUACGGGAGGCAGCAGUGGGGAAUAUUGGACAAUGGGCGAAAGCCUGAUCCAGCAAUGCCGCGUGAGUGAUGAAGGCCUUAGGGUCGUAAAGCUCUUUUACCAGGGAUGAUAAUGACAGUACCUGGAGAAUAAGCUCCGGCUAACUCCGUGCCAGCAGCCGCGGUAAUACGGAGGGAGCUAGCGUUGUUCGGAAUUACUGGGCGUAAAGCGUGCGUAGGCGGUUAUUCAAGUCAGAGGUGAAAGCCCGGGGCUCAACCCCGGAACGGCCUUUGAAACUAGAUAACUAGAAUCUUGGAGAGGUCAGUGGAAUUCCGAGUGUAGAGGUGAAAUUCGUAGAUAUUCGGAAGAACACCAGUGGCGAAGGCGACUGACUGGACAAGUAUUGACGCUGAGGUACGAAAGCGUGGGGAGCAAACAGGAUUAGAUACCCUGGUAGUCCACGCCGUAAACGAUGAUAACUAGCUGUCCGGACACUUGGUGUUUGGGUGGCGCAGCUAACGCAUUAAGUUAUCCGCCUGGGGAGUACGGUCGCAAGAUUAAAACUUAAAGAUAUAGCGNGUGAGUGCGACGAGACACGAGGAGGUAG